This 471-nucleotide ribosomal RNA is filed under the name uncultured bacterium. Its description in RNAcentral is "bacterial SSU rRNA". It matches the Rfam family "Bacterial small subunit ribosomal RNA", at positions 331 to 794 of the family's 1533-position model. The record is from RNAcentral.
CCAGACUCCUACGGGAGGCAGCAGUGGGGAAUAUUGCACAAUGGGCGCAAGCCUGAUGCAGCCAUGCCGCGUGUAUGAAGAAGGCCUUCGGGUUGUAAAGUACUUUCAGUCGGGAGGAAGGUGUCAAGGUUAAUAACCUUGGCAAUUGACAUUACCGACAGAAGAAGCACCGGCUAACUCCGUGCCAGCAGCCGCGGUAAUACGGAGGGUGCAAGCGUUAAUCGGAAUUACUGGGCGUAAAGCGCACGCAGGCGGUCUGUCAAGUCGGAUGUGAAAUCCCCGGGCUCAACCUGGGAACUGCAUUCGAAACUGGCAGGCUGGAGUCUUGUAGAGGGGGGUAGAAUUCCAGGUGUAGCGGUGAAAUGCGUAGAGAUCUGGAGGAAUACCGGUGGCGAAGGCGGCCCCCUGGACAAAGACUGACGCUCAGGUGCGAAAGCGUGGGGAGCAAACAGGAUUAGAUACCCUAGUAGG